Molecule: long non-coding RNA, 1669 nt
Organism: Neofelis nebulosa (Clouded leopard)
Lineage: Eukaryota; Metazoa; Chordata; Mammalia; Carnivora; Felidae
Exons: 3
Source: RefSeq, a predicted model, not a curated record
GAAGUGGGCGAAAAAAAGGUCCGAGAGCUGGACCUGGACUUGUUUCAUUCUCAGGCUGGGGUUGGGUUCUCGGGGGACGUGAAGCUUAAUGGUUGGUGUAAGGUUUAAAAUGGAGAGAAGAUAAGAUGGAAUGGAGGAGAGAAUCAGCUCACAAUUUACAGAAGGCAAGAGAAUCUUUACAAAGUGAAGUAGAGUUCCACUGCAAGAAAAAUUAUGCUGGGCAUCUGGUCAGAGUAGUUCCCAGAUGGCCAUGGUACUGGGUAACAGCCUCAAGCUGGGCUCAUUUUGCAAGCUGGUGGAAUAACUCCUAGGAAAUCAAAGACUUCCAGGAAGACUUCUGGCACAAAAAAAGAACCUGCUUCCAUGCCCCAAAUUAGAGAGAGACACGGACACUCAGAAUCCGAAGCAGGCUCCAGGCUCUGAGCUGUCAGCACAGAGCCCGACGCCGGGCUCACACUCACAAUAAAAAAUAUUUUUAUUAGUGAACUGCCAGAUACAUCUCUCCAUGGUUUUUUUCCCCUACAUUUUAUGGCUAUGUACCCUUCAAUCAUCUUUUAUAUGACGGUGGCUUUGUAAUACUCUAUGGAGAGAAUAGGAAGAUAAUUUAGUCUUUUCUCUGGUGUAGUUGAUCAGUAUUUGAUUUUUAUUACUGAUAGCUCAGAAGAAUUUUUUUUUCAUCCUCGCAGUUCAUUGUUGGUUAUACACACACAUACACGCUCACACACGCUUAUUGUAAUCAUGUAUUACGAGUUUAUGUUGUCUUCAUUUAUGUCAACUUGAGGUCAAAUCAGAAAUUUAAGUAUUUUUAAUGAGCUUAUAUGAUUUUCUUCACAAAUUGAUUAUCAAAAAAAUUCACGGGCCUGUUUAUUACUUUCAUUUGCAAUUUAUCUCUUCAUUUUAGACAAUUACUGUCUUUGUUAUCUGAAAAAAAUUAGUACUAUUUACUUCUCAAUGUCAAGAUAAUUUCUUUUGAUUUUCUCACUCAUCUUUACCACUUUAAUUUCAUAUUUAUUGAUUUUUUACCCUCAAUUUUAUAUCAGUACUUUAGUAAAAUAAAUUACGAAUGACCUGAGAAGGUGCCCACUAUAUACAUCCACAUCAGGAGUUUGUAAUUUAUCACAUCUUUAAUUGAAAUGUUCCAAAGUGUCUUUCUAAAUUGUAGUUAAAAAUGUUAUAUUUGGGUUUUAUCAGCUGUUGAAUAAGUUCUUACAUCUCAUUUGUGUUUUGGUUUGUUUUUGAGUCAUUGAAAAUAUAUUUUAGAGUCCUUAAAUUUUCUUUGAGCCUGUGUUGCAAGGCUUGAACACUUUUAUAAUGGGCAGACCAUUUCAUUAUAGUUAGAUGCUUUAAGGAAAAAUCCAACUUGGCAUAUAUGUUUAAAAGAUCAAGAAAAAAAGAUUCCAUAUAGUAGUCGAACCUGAAAAUAAGAUACACAACAGUCUCAGAUUCUUGAAGUAGUUAACCUCAGAUGCUUUGAGGCAGCCUUGCCUCUAACAAAAUCAAGGUAGUGAUUUGUGCAUGGCUCAUGUGCUGCAGUGGUUUUUAAAGAACACGCAGCCCUUUGUUCUAAUCAUCAUAAUAGCUGUGCUGACAUGUGACUGUAAAUGCCCAACUGCAGGUUGAAAUGGCUCAAAUCUUUUUUCACCUUGUUGAAUAAAGUCAGACAAAUGUU